RNAcentral lists this ribosomal RNA (493 nucleotides) under uncultured bacterium. RNAcentral's name for it is "partial 16S ribosomal RNA". It matches the Rfam family "Bacterial small subunit ribosomal RNA", at positions 28 to 507 of the family's 1533-position model. The record is from RNAcentral.
GACGAACGCUGGCGGCGUGCUUAACACAUGCGAGUCGAACGGUGAAGGGACCGGUUUUUGCUGGUUCUGGAUGAGUGGCGAACGGGUGAGUAACACGUGAGUAACCUGCCCCCUUCUUCUGGAUAACCGCAUGAAAGUGUGGCUAAUACGGGAUAUUCUGCGCCUGCUGCAUGGUGGGUGUGGGAAAGAUAUUGUUUCGGUGGGGGAUGGGCUCGCGGCCUAUCAGCUUGUUGGUGGGGUGAUGGCCUACCAAGGCGGUGACGGGUAGCCGGCCUGAGAGGGUGGACGGUCACACUGGGACUGAGACACGGCCCAGACUCCUACGGGAGGCAGCAGUGGGGAAUAUUGCACAAUGGGCGCAAGCCUGAUGCAGCGACGCCGCGUGAGGGAUGGAGGCCUUCGGGUUGUAAACCUCUUUCGCCAGUGAAGCAGGCCUGUCCCUUUUGUGGGUGGGUUGACGGUAGCUGGAGAAGAAGCGCCGGCUAACUACGUG